Molecule: long non-coding RNA, 1980 nt
Filed under: Heterocephalus glaber (naked mole-rat)
Lineage: Eukaryota; Metazoa; Chordata; Mammalia; Rodentia; Bathyergidae
Description: lncRNA (ENSHGLG00000050468.1)
Source: RNAcentral
CUGAAAGGGCUGGGUACAUAAAGUCUGGAAGUUUUAUAUACUUUGAGUUAGCAAUAAAGAACACAGAAUAACUUCUUUUCAGACCUCAUAUUACCUGUUAUUACACAAACCUACUGAGAGGAAUACUCAGAGGAUGUUAAGUGAUAUACUGUUUAUCUGCUUUUCUAGGGUAUUCUUGAAUCAAAUAAGAUCUUCAGGUUAUAUUUGUAGAUCUUGAAAUUUUCACUGAGUUGAGGCUUCCUCUAAGAAGCAGGUAGAAGAAGACUUAGAAUUGUAAACAAUUCAAGGCCACCCAGAAGAUGGUAGCUCAAGGAAUCUACUCCUGCGUCUUCUGACUUUCCCAGUGAUCUCAAGUCAGCCUCGCCAUCUUCACUAUUCAGAGUUUAUAUUCCUGGAAAAUGACAAGUUUCUUCUAUUCAGAAUGUGAGUGAAUAAUGCAUGAGAAUCUCUCUUAAGGGUUGUAUGUGACCCUAACCCAUGUCUGGGAAUGGCAUUUUUAUAGCCAAGACUGCUUUGAGAUAAUUGAGAUCAUUUUGGUUCUUUGAUCAACAAGUGUUUUAAGAUGUGGUCAGGAGAUCACUUCAUUUUUUCAGACGUUGGAGGAGUCUAAUUAUGGUAGUCCAGUUCAAGGAUGGGCCCAGUGAUUCUUGCCUUCUGGUAUGCAUAUACUGUAUAGUGUGAUAGCAGUAGAAUAUGGUAAAAGCAAUGGUAUGUCACUUCAGAGAUAGAUUAUAAAGGAAAUUGUGGCUUGUGAUCUCAGAACACAGCUACCAUGUCUCUAUAGAGAGGCUCAUGUGGUGAAGAACUGAGCCUUCUUGUGAGCAGCUCAGGAGGAACUGAGAUUUUGGAUUAAAGGUUAAGUGAAUAAGCCAUCUUAGAAGCAGAUUCAACAGACAAAGUCAAGUCUUUGAAUGACUGCAUUCCUGGCCAAGACUUCCUCUUGAUCCCUGUGAAGGACUCCAAGCUAGAACCCACCAAUCUAAGCUGCUAUUAGAUUUUGGAUGGACAAAAACAGUAUGACAUAAUAAAAGUUGGUUUAAGCUGCUAAUACUUGGGAAUGUUUUCUUAUAGAGAAAUAAAUAACUAUAGACCUAUCAUUCUUAGACUUUGUCCUCUAGAAGCUAACACUACUCAGGAGAAAAAAAUAAAUAAACUGCAACAAUAACAAGAAUGCUCCAAACCUAGGUAUAUAAGCAUCUACUUACAAUAUAGUACAAGUGCUAUGUAGGAAAUAACUACCAAGCACUACAGGUGGCAGGAGAUAUAACAAUUAACUGUAUUUGGAGAGAAAAGGGGUCUAAAAAACCCCAAAACUUCACAAACAGAUGUUUAGAGAUCAGUCUCUAAGAAAAAUCAGUUAUUUUCCUAGCAAAAAAAAGAAAGAAGAGCAUAUAUGGAGACCAAUGUCUGUCUCAGGGAAUGUGUUCAGUUCUAUAUAUCUUUGACCAAUUUGUGUGAGGAUUCCCUGCUAGGGAAAAUAGGUUUAUCCUAAGACAUAAGAAGUCACUGACAGAUUUUAAGAAGGAGAUUGGAAACAUCACUUAUACAUUAUAGGUAGAUAGCUGUUGUAGGUUUACUAGAAAGGUCUGAAGGGACUAGAAACAGGGAAGGAUGAAGUCCAUAUAGAAAAUGAUUAUAGUUCAUCCCAAUAGCUUCUCAAAUUAAAGACUAGUGAAUUUUUGAUGUAAUCAUAUCACUCAUCUAGUAGUUUUUAAGUUUAAUAGUUUUAAAUUUGAAAUAAUUUUAGGUGUAUCAAAAAGUUACAAAAACAGGAUAAAGAAUUUCUAUAUAAUCCUCACCCAGCUUCCUCACACACUAAUACUUCAUAUAACCAUAGUAAAAUUUUUAUUUAAAAAUUUUUUUUCACAGUAUAAUUUUUAAAAUCAGAACAUUAACAUUUAUACGUUUGUAAUUCAUUCACUGACUUUAUUCAAAUUUCAUCACCAUUCAUUUGAUUGGUGUAAUUUUUCUGGUCCAGGG